This 461-nucleotide long non-coding RNA is filed under the name Homo sapiens (human). Its description in RNAcentral is "HSALNT0195089". The record is from RNAcentral. Lineage: Eukaryota; Metazoa; Chordata; Mammalia; Primates; Hominidae.
CUUCAAUAGGCACCGUCCUCAGCAACUAUAAGGCCAACUUACAACAUCUGAGAACAACCAAGGUUGGCCUUCAACUUUCAAGCUGAGUGCCCUUCCCCACCUCCAGCCUGCACCACUCUUCACGACCCCAGGCCACCUUCUGGAUAAGUUCAUCAAGGAGUUUCUCCAGCCCAACAAAUGCUUCCUAGAGCAGAUUGACAGUGCUGUUAACAUCAUCCGUACAUUCCUUAAAGAAAACUGCUUCCGACAAUCAACAGCCAAGAUCCAGAUUGUCCGGGGAGGAUCAACCGCCAAAGGCACAGCUCUGAAGACUGGCUCUGAUGCCGAUCUCGUCGUGUUCCAUAACUCACUUAAAAGCUACACCUCCCAAAAAAACGAGCGGCACAAAAUCGUCAAGGAAAUCCAUGAACAGCUGAAAGCCUUUUGGAGGGAGAAGGAGGAGGAGCUUGAAGUCAGCUUUG